RNAcentral lists this ribosomal RNA (253 nucleotides) under uncultured bacterium. Its description in RNAcentral is "partial 16S ribosomal RNA". It matches the Rfam family "Bacterial small subunit ribosomal RNA", at positions 524 to 776 of the family's 1533-position model. The record is from RNAcentral.
UACGUAGGGUGCGAGCGUUGUCCGGAUUUAUUGGGCGUAAAGAGCUCGUAGGUGGUUUGUCGCGUUGUUCGUGAAAACCUGAGGCUUAACCUUGGGCGUGCGGGCGAUACGGGCAGACUGGAGUACUGCAGGGGAGACUGGAAUUCCUGGUGUAGCGGUGGAAUGCGCAGAUAUCAGGAGGAACACCGGUGGCGAAGGCGGUUCUCUGGGCAUUACCUGACGCUGAGGAGCGAAAGUGUGGGGAGCGAACAGG